CCUAGGGGGGGCUGCAGUGGGGAAUAUCGGACAAUGGGCGAAAGCCUGAUCCAGCCAUGCCGCGUGUGUGAAGAAGGCCUUCGGGUUGUAAAGCACUUUCAGUGGGGAAGAAAGCCUUGGGGCUAAUACCCUCGAGGAAGGACAUCACCCACAGAAGAAGCACCGGCUAACUCCGUGCCAGCAGCCGCGGUAAUACGGAGGGUGCGAGCGUUAAUCGGAAUUACUGGGCGUAAAGCGCGCGUAGGCGGUCUGAUAAGCCGGUUGUGAAAGCCCCGGGCUCAACCUGGGAACGGCAUCCGGAACUGUCAGGCUAGAGUGCAGGAGAGGAAGGUAGAAUUCCCGGUGUAGCGGUGAAAUGCGUAGAGAUCGGGAGGAAUACCAGUGGCGAAGGCGGCCUUCUGGACUGACACUGACGCUGAGGUGCGAAAGCGUGGGUAGCAAACAGGAUUAGAUACCCCAGUAGUC
Molecule: ribosomal RNA, 465 nt
Filed under: Vreelandella stevensii
Lineage: Bacteria; Pseudomonadati; Pseudomonadota; Gammaproteobacteria; Oceanospirillales; Halomonadaceae
Description: partial 16S ribosomal RNA
Rfam family: Bacterial small subunit ribosomal RNA
Source: RNAcentral